This 465-nucleotide ribosomal RNA is filed under the name uncultured bacterium. RNAcentral's name for it is "partial 16S ribosomal RNA". It matches the Rfam family "Bacterial small subunit ribosomal RNA", at positions 339 to 795 of the family's 1533-position model. The record is from RNAcentral.
CUACGGGGGGCACCAGUCGAGAAGCUUCGGCAAUGGACGAAAGUCUGACCGAGCGACGCCGCGUGAGCGAUGAAGGCCCCAGUGGUCGUAAAGCUCUGUCAGGAGGGAAUAAAUACCUGCGGCGAAUAACCGCAGGGGCUGAAGGUACCUCCAGAGGAAGCGCCGGCUAACUACGUGCCAGCAGCCGCGGUAAUACGUAGGGCGCAAACGUUGUUCGGAUUUACUGGGUAUAAAGGGUUCGUAGGCGGGCUGGUAAGUCAGAGGUGAAAGCCAACGGCUCAACCGUUGAAUUGCCUCUGAUACUGUCAGCCUUGAGUCCGUUAGGGGAUGGUGGAAUUCCUGGUGUAGCGGUGAAAUGCGUAAAUAUCAGGAGGAACACCGGUGGCGAAGGCGGCCAUCUGGGACGGUACUGACGCUGAGGAACGAAAGCAUGGGUAUCAAACGGGAUUAGAUACCCCUGUAGUC